This is a long non-coding RNA of Zea mays, 1708 nucleotides long. RefSeq lists it as uncharacterized. The record is from RefSeq and is marked validated. Lineage: Eukaryota; Viridiplantae; Streptophyta; Magnoliopsida; Poales; Poaceae. The transcript has a single exon.
UUAUGCUUCUCUAGAUUAACCGAAUCUAACGCAAACAUCCCAAAACAGCAAAGCAUACACACUAAGUGCAACACUCAUGUUCCUGCUUUUUGAUCGGAUCUAAUUCCGAAAUCAAGCAAGAAUAAAUUAUUUAACCCACACUAUCAUCCUUAGUAAAAUAUAUUUCAGAAGUCUAAUAAAACCUGGACUCGCUAUUAUUAAAUGCCAACGACUUAAAAUAGUUAUAGGAACAAUCUAAUUAACUCUUUAAACCAUGCGUCUUAAUUAACUUAAAUUACACACUUAACACAAUUGGCCUAGACAUAACUUAUCCACUAAUUAAUUAAAUGCUAAACUUACCCAUCGCAUUAUUAAUUAUACUCACAAAGAAUUAUUUUAAUUUUAUUUCGCACCACUCAUAUUUAUUCAAUCUAUCUAACGAUUCGGCUAACAGGAAUAACGAAUCAGCUCACCAUACUAAAAUCCGACUUGAACCCACGAAAUCGACGAUGCUACUCUCUUUUAAACAUUCAGAGCAACAAUUAACAUUUAUUCAAGACAUUUAACCGGUCACUAGUUAUAAUAUAACGAUCACUAAAGCAGAGCAUCGACUUCAUCAAACCAUCAUUAUUUGAUACGAGCAAUAUAGGAAACGCCUACCACCAGAACAUUCAAAACACGAAACCUAUGAUUUGACGAUUACCAAAUGAUGCUAUUUUUAAGGCACCGCCACGAGCCAUACACAGGCAACCAGCAGGGAUCUGACGAUAUCACACAACGUACUAUAACCAAACGACUAAAAUCCGCGAGAAGGACGACGGUUUCCCGGUUCGCGCAUAUCACCAAAUACGUGACGAGCGAAGUACUAGACUUCGCUAUUCUACACGAUCAAAUUUUAUUCUCGCAAUAAUCCACUACUACGAUUUACUCGUACGUCACCGGCCCACAUUAACAGCGCAAACAUACCAAACUGAUGAGAAAUAUUAAAACGAAGAGCGAGAGCGAUGAUAGCUCACCAAUAAUUUAAUUUAUCUCAAAGGUCACGAGCACAGCUACGAUUUUCAUUUCCGCCAUUACGUAAUUCCGCCAUUACGUCGAGCACCUCACGAGCGACGCUGUGGACGAGUCGAGGAAGGCACGGCUGGUGGUGUCCUGCAGCUAAAGCCAGCGAGCUGCGAAGGACGUAGUCCGGCGCGCGCAGCCAACAGAGAAGCAGGGGUGUCCGGCACGUGUGCGCGGCAACGCAAGACCCAACGAGCAAAGACGGCGCGACGACCAUGAUACAGGCGAGCUGGAGGCCGGCAAGCUGACGGCGCUGAGGAAACUCGCGAGCAGGAUCCGAAGCCAGCCAUGGCGAGCUUGAAGAAACACAUAGAGGACAGACCUCGGGGCAAGCUGGGGACAGAGUGAAGGCAAGCGAGCAGAUGCUAGGGUCGAGCGGCCGGCUGAGACAGAGACAACGCCGAGGUGCUAGAGACCGCCAGACCGGCGAGGUGAGGGCUGGAAGGAGCGGUUGGGAAGAGAGGGACGUGAGGGAAGAAGCCGAAGUCUGUAGGCAGCGGUGACCAAGGAAAUAUCCAAAUGACUCCAUAGCAUCAAUCAAUAUAUUAAAAAUGCCUAAACCAGAUGUGUCAUCCACCUUCAGGAACCCCAAAAAAUACUCCUCAAUGUUUAUCUUUCCAUAAGACAAGUUAACACAACGAAUCAAUAAAGUCAUUUGUAUGAACUC